GACGAACGCUGGCGGCGUGCCUAACACAUGCAAGUCGAGCGAGCAGAUUUCCUUCGGGAAUGAAGCUAGCGGCGGACGGGUGAGUAACGUGUAAAGAACUUGCCCUCUAGACUGGGAUAACAGAUAGAAAUGUCUGAUAAUACCGGAUAUUAUUGUUACAUGGCAUCAUGUAGGAAUGAAAGGAUAAGAUUGCUAGAGGAGAGCUUUGCAUCCUAUUAGCUAGUUGGUAAGGUAGUGGCUUACCAAGGCGAUGAUAGGUAGCCGGCCUGAGAGGGUGGACGGCCACAAGGGGACUGAGAUACGGCCCUU
RNAcentral lists this ribosomal RNA (309 nucleotides) under uncultured bacterium. Its description in RNAcentral is "bacterial SSU rRNA". It matches the Rfam family "Bacterial small subunit ribosomal RNA", at positions 28 to 334 of the family's 1533-position model. The record is from RNAcentral.